Long non-coding RNA from Vidua macroura (Pin-tailed whydah), 180 nucleotides. RefSeq lists it as uncharacterized. The record is from RefSeq and is a predicted model, not a curated record. The transcript has 3 exons. Lineage: Eukaryota; Metazoa; Chordata; Aves; Passeriformes; Viduidae.
GUGCCCGGCCGUGCCCAGGUGUGCCAGGUGUGCCGGUCUCAGUUGGUGCCCGGCCGUGCCCAGGUGCCCAGUUGGUGCCCGGCCGUGCCCGGCCGUGCCCAGGUUCUCAGUUGGUGCCCGGCCGUGCCCGGCCGUGCCCGCGCCGGGCGAAGCGGAAGCUCUGCAGGGGGUUCCCGGAGC